AACCCUAGUCAAUAGAUUCACGGCGUAAAACGUGUUUAAGGAAUAUUUUUAUAAAGUCAAACUUUAGCUACGCUGUAAAAAGCCACAGCUACUGUAAGCCCUAACGCGAAAGUAACUUUAAGACAUCUGAAUACACGACAGCUAAGGCCCAAACUGGGAUUAGAUACCCCACUAUGCUUAGCCCUAAACUUAAAGAGUCCUCCCAACAAGACUCUUCGCCAGAGUACUACUAGCCAAAGCUUAAAACUCAAGGGACUUGGCGGUGCUUCAUAUCCCUCUAGAGGAGCCUGUUCUAUAAUCGAUAAACCCCGAUCAACCUCACCAACCCUUGCCAACU
This 337-nucleotide ribosomal RNA is filed under the name Artibeus lituratus (great fruit-eating bat). RNAcentral describes it as "partial 12S ribosomal RNA". It matches the Rfam family "Bacterial small subunit ribosomal RNA", at positions 598 to 989 of the family's 1533-position model. Lineage: Eukaryota; Metazoa; Chordata; Mammalia; Chiroptera; Phyllostomidae. The record is from RNAcentral.